Non-coding RNA from Pangasius djambal, 73 nucleotides. Lineage: Eukaryota; Metazoa; Chordata; Actinopteri; Siluriformes; Pangasiidae. The record is from the annotation of a GenBank genome assembly.
UCAGUUGUAGCUCAGGGGUUAAGAGCUUGGACUACUGAUUGGAAGGUCAUGAGUUCAAACCCCAGCACCUCCA